Molecule: long non-coding RNA, 798 nt
Organism: Zingiber officinale
Lineage: Eukaryota; Viridiplantae; Streptophyta; Magnoliopsida; Zingiberales; Zingiberaceae
Exons: 3
Source: RefSeq, a predicted model, not a curated record
AUUAAUUUUAAAAAAAAACCCAAGCCUUCAUUCUCUUCCUCGUGCUUGCAGCGCCGCCGUGCUCCUGACCCGAUGACAACCGCUGCUCGCGGACAACCGACGCCUCCCCUCCACCUCUUCCUCUUCCUCCUCCUCCUCCGCUUCCAGUGACCUCGAGCGCGUCUUCAACAAGAUCAACUCACGAUGACAAGAUCCGAGGAGGAGUUCCGCCGGAUGAUGGUAGAGGCCGAUUCUGACGAGGACGGUUUCAUCUCCCUGGAGGAGUUCGCGGAGAUCAACGCUCAGACGCACGAUUUCAUCUUCCUCGUGCUCACGGCCCCAUCGUGCUCCCGACCCGGCGUCGAUCAAUGAGAGACGUCCGCAUCUCUCCUUCACCAGACGCACUACGACAUUGUUCCAUCGUGAGAAUGACCGGCGAUGCUCCCCCGUCGACGCGACAAAGCCAACGCCAGUGAUGCCCCUCCGUCGUUUCCCAGCAAAUACUAGCACCUCCGCCACUGUUGCGGUUGGAAGUUGCGACCAAUCACAACCUCCGAUUCUGCAACUUCUUGAGCGCACUCGCACAUCCUACUAUUGCUGUCGACCGGCUCAACCUCACCAUCCCGAGCCCAGCACCCCUAUAGGCGAUGACGUGUAGCCACCUUCACUUUCCCUCUACCAGCCGCUGCAAGUAGAAGGGAAAGUUAGGAUUUGAGCUCGAGGCAGACUCUUUGACUAGAAGACAGUUAGACGUUAUACGGUUGAGAUAAAGGUAAAGAAUGGAUAAACUAGAGGAGCAGCAGGAAGGGGCAAGAGAUG